Molecule: small RNA, 186 nt
Filed under: Homo sapiens (human)
Lineage: Eukaryota; Metazoa; Chordata; Mammalia; Primates; Hominidae
Description: Hum_SGMS1_232
Source: RNAcentral
CAUAUUUAGUCAUUCAUUUUUGAUCAGGAGAAAGAAGACAGCCAUCAUUUGAAAGGUAAAGCUUCAGCGACUGAAGGAGUGUGGACUUUUUGAAUUUCAAGAACAGUAAAGUUGGAACACAGCAGAGGGUGUGUAAUAAAAUACAGCGUGACGACAGCAUGUACGAUCCCUGAAUGGGCCCGUGGG